Papaver somniferum (opium poppy) is the source of this 919-nucleotide RNA transcript. RefSeq lists it as uncharacterized. The transcript is spliced from 3 exons. The record is from RefSeq and is a predicted model, not a curated record. NCBI's taxonomy places the organism in Eukaryota, Viridiplantae, Streptophyta, Magnoliopsida, Ranunculales, Papaveraceae.
UCAUGUUUAUUCGAGGGAAAGAAAAAUACCUGAAGAGAAACCCUAAAUCAUUUUAUUCUCAUCAUCUCUCUCUCUCCAAAAGAAAUAGCUGAAGGUUUCUGUGAUAUUUUCUUCUCUUCUUUUCUGAAAUCGAAGAUCUGGUGAACGAUUGACUGUGUCUGUGUUACCUAGAGAUGAAGGAGAAGGAAUCGAAGAAUGAUUCUGUUGAGAUCAAAGAAAACUCAUGGAAAGAGGUUGUUUCUAGUGUCCAAGAUAGAUACCCUUUUAGACACAUUUUUGUCCACAUUAUAUUUCUAUCACCUGGAAAGAGAUGCAAUUGAUUUGAAAUCGUUUGAGAAAGAGCUUCGUAGGAGGGUAGGUCUGCAAGUAAGUGAAGGAUAAUGUUGUACCAGGUGGAAGGGGUUCUACUAUAUGGUUACUUGGCAAUAUACUGUAUCCAAAAAAAAAUAUUUCUCCUGUUAGAAGAAGCCCAGACUUAAGGUUCCUGUUAGAAGAAGCCCCAAACUUGAAGCUAAAGCUAAGGUUGAUAAACAACAAGGUACCUCUACAUAUAAGAAGUUGUUUUAGGACUUAUUGAACGAAGUUUACUGCGCAUCAUAAGUUCCUGAAGCUAGUGUUGUUGAUAAUUUCAGAGGUUUCUCAAGUACUAAACAUUUGUAGUUAAUGAAUCACCUAUAGAUGAUAAUUAUUCUGGCUUGCUUGCUUUUGAACAGGUUUAAUUUGCAUAUGUAACAACUGAUAUUCUGGGUUGGAAUGAUAUCUUUUUGUAACCAGAAAUUGAUGUAACUCAAAUGUUGUUUUGUAAUAGUGGUAAAAGGGGAUCUUUUCGAACUUGUGAAGAGAACAAUUUUUUUUUAGAUUUAAAUAAUUUAGAAAUGUAGAAAAUUCAAUUAACAAGUGAUAUAAAUUUUAUGGAGAA